Molecule: ribosomal RNA, 457 nt
Filed under: uncultured bacterium
Lineage: Bacteria
Description: bacterial SSU rRNA
Rfam family: Bacterial small subunit ribosomal RNA
Source: RNAcentral
ACGAACGCUGGCGGCGUGGAUUAGGCAUGCAAGUCGAGCGACGGACCUUCGGGUUACGGAGCGGCGAACGGGUGAGUAACACGUGAUCAACCUGUCCCUACAUUCCGGAUAAUUGGCCGAAAGGCCUUGUAAUACGGGCGAGGAUCUCCGGAAGGCAUCUUCUGGAGAGGGAACACGCAAGUGGUGCGGGGAGGGGAUCGCGUCCCAUCAGGUAGUUGGUGAGGUAACGGCCCACCAAGCCUACGACGGGUAGCUGGUCUGAGAGGAUGGUCAGCCACAUUGGAACUGAGACACUGUCCAGACUCCUACGGGAGGCUGCAGUCGAGAAUCUUGCACAAUGCACGAAAGUGUGAUGCAGCGACGCCGCGUGAAGGAUGAAGGCCCUUGGGUCGUAAACUUCUUUUAGAGGGGAAGAAUCAAUGACGGUACCCUCUGAAUAAGCCACGGCUAACUACGU